CUAGGACACAGUGAAGGAAGAUGCCUCUCGGGUUACAGCAGAGGGAACAGCGACUAGAAAUGCAGAGUAACUCCACAUCAGAAACUGUUCUCAUUACAGCGUUAUUAAGAUCUUACAUCCUGCCUCACAACCGUAAUGUCUCUGAGCAAGGAAGAACGACUCUAAAUAAUUCUACUCAUAGGAAUUCGGGGUCAAAGAGAGGCCGCUGCUGAAUUUAACAGACUGCAUCCAGACCGCGAGCCAAUAACACAGAGUUGUGUUAAUAGACUUGUUGCAAAGUUUGAGAAAACAGAAUCCAAAGAAGAUAAAACACGCAGUGGACCUUCAAGGAGAUCCACUGAUGAAAAUUAGGAGUGUUGAACAUUUGCGGCAGCCCAUUAUUGAGGGAUGUAACACCAUUACUCCUGAGAUCAUUCACCGUGACUGGUUAUCAUGUCUGGAUUUGUGUAUUGAGAACAA
This is a non-coding RNA of Zootermopsis nevadensis, 459 nucleotides long. The record is from RefSeq and is a predicted model, not a curated record. Lineage: Eukaryota; Metazoa; Arthropoda; Insecta; Blattodea; Termopsidae.